This 253-nucleotide ribosomal RNA is filed under the name uncultured bacterium. RNAcentral describes it as "partial 16S ribosomal RNA". It matches the Rfam family "Bacterial small subunit ribosomal RNA", at positions 524 to 776 of the family's 1533-position model. The record is from RNAcentral.
UACAGAGGUGGCAAGCGUUGUUCGGAAUUACUGGGCGUAAAGGGCGCGUAGGCGGUCUUGCAAGUCCCGUGUGAAAUCCCUCGGCUUAACCGAGGAACUGCGUCCGAUACUGAAAGGCUUGAAUCCGGGAGAGGGAUGUGGAAUUCCAGGUGUAGCGGUGAAAUGCGUAGAUAUCUGGAGGAACACCGGUGGCGAAGGCGGCAUCCUGGACCGGUAUUGACGCUGAGGCGCGAAAGCUAGGGGAGCAAACGGG